Molecule: ribosomal RNA, 177 nt
Filed under: uncultured bacterium
Lineage: Bacteria
Description: partial 16S ribosomal RNA
Rfam family: Bacterial small subunit ribosomal RNA
Source: RNAcentral
AGCUGGAAUCGCUAGUAAUCGCGGAUCAGAAUGCCGCGGUGAAUACGUUCCCGGGUCUUGUACACACCGCCCGUCACACCAUGGGAGUCAGCAACGCCCGAAGUCAGUGACCUAACCGAGAGGAAGGAGCUGCCGAAGGCGGGGCAGGUAACUGGGGUGAAGUCGUAACAAGGUAUC